RNAcentral lists this ribosomal RNA (139 nucleotides) under uncultured eukaryote. RNAcentral's name for it is "partial 18S ribosomal RNA". It matches the Rfam family "Eukaryotic small subunit ribosomal RNA", at positions 1299 to 1458 of the family's 1831-position model. The record is from RNAcentral.
UGGUGGAGUGAUUUGUCUGCUUAAUUGCGAUAACGAACGAGACCUUAACCUGCUAAAUAGCCCAGCCCGCUUCUGCGGGUUGCCGGCUUCUUAGAGGGACUAUCGGAUUUCAAGACGAUGGAAGUUUGAGGCAAUAACA